GACGAACGCUGGCGGCGUGCUUAACACAUGCAAGUCGAACGGAAAGGCCCUGCUUGCAGGGUACUCGAGUGGCGAACGGGUGAGUAACACGUGGGUGAUCUGCCCUGCACUUCGGGAUAAGCCUGGGAAACUGGGUCUAAUACCGGAUAGGAGCCAUUUUUAGUGUGAUGGUUGGAAAGUUUUUUCGGUGUAGGAUGAGCUCGCGGCCUAUCAGCUUGUUGGUGGGGUAAUGGCCUACCAAGGCGGCGACGGGUAGCCGGCCUGAGAGGGUGGACGGCCACAGUGGGACUGAGAUACGGCCCAGACUCCUACGGGAGGCAGCAGUGGGGAAUAUUGCACAAUGGGCGCAAGCCUGAUGCAGAGACGCCGCGUGGGGGAUGACGGCCUUCGGGUUGUAAACUCCUUUCGCUAGGGACGAAGCUUUUUGUGACGGUACCUAGAUAAGAAGCACCGGCUAACUACGUG
This 465-nucleotide ribosomal RNA is filed under the name uncultured bacterium. RNAcentral describes it as "partial 16S ribosomal RNA". It matches the Rfam family "Bacterial small subunit ribosomal RNA", at positions 28 to 507 of the family's 1533-position model. The record is from RNAcentral.